This 326-nucleotide ribosomal RNA is filed under the name uncultured eukaryote. Its description in RNAcentral is "partial 18S ribosomal RNA". It matches the Rfam family "Eukaryotic small subunit ribosomal RNA", at positions 1470 to 1796 of the family's 1831-position model. The record is from RNAcentral.
CCCUUAGAUGUUCUGGGCUGCACGCGCGCUACACUGAUGCACUCAACGAGUUUACGACCUUGCCCGAUCGGGUUGGGUAAUCUUUUUAAAAUGCAUCGUGAUGGGGAUAGAUUAUUGCAAUUAUUAAUCUUCAACGAGGAAUUCCUAGUAAGCGCGAGUCAUCAGCUCGUGCUGAUUACGUCCCUGCCCUUUGUACACACCGCCCGUCGCUCCUACCGAUUGAGUGCUCAGGUGAAUAAUUCGGACUGCAGCAAUGUUUGGAUCCCAAACGUUGCAGCGGAAAGUUUAGUGAACCUUAUCACUUAGAGGAAGGAGAAGUCGUAACA